RNAcentral lists this ribosomal RNA (454 nucleotides) under uncultured bacterium. RNAcentral's name for it is "bacterial SSU rRNA". It matches the Rfam family "Bacterial small subunit ribosomal RNA", at positions 28 to 478 of the family's 1533-position model. The record is from RNAcentral.
GAUGAACGCUGGCGGCGUGCUUAACACAUGCAAGUCGAACGAAGCACUUUAUUACGAUUUCUUCGGAAUGACGAUUUAGUGACUGAGUGGCGGACGGGUGAGUAACGCGUGGGUAACCUGCCUUAUACAGGGGGAUAACAGUUAGAAAUGACUGCUAAUACCGCAUAAGCGCACAGGAUUGCAUGAUCUGGUGUGAAAAACUCCGGUGGUAUAAGAUGGACCCGCGUCUGAUUAGCUGGUUGGUGAGGUAACGGCCCACCAAGGCGACGAUCAGUAGCCGACCUGAGAGGGUGACCGGCCACAUUGGGACUGAGACACGGCCCAAACUCCUACGGGAGGCAGCAGUGGGGAAUAUUGCACAAUGGGGGAAACCCUGAUGCAGCGACGCCGCGUGAGCGAAGAAGUAUUUCGGUAUGUAAAGCUCUAUCAGCAGGGAAGAAAAAAAUGACGGUAC